This 301-nucleotide ribosomal RNA is filed under the name uncultured bacterium. RNAcentral's name for it is "partial 16S ribosomal RNA". It matches the Rfam family "Bacterial small subunit ribosomal RNA", at positions 509 to 807 of the family's 1533-position model. The record is from RNAcentral.
CAGUCGCCGCGGUAAUACGAAGGGGGCUAGCGUUGCUCGGAAUGACUGGGCGUAAAGGGCGCGUAGGCGGCGAUCAAAGUCAGGCGUGAAAUUCCUGGGCUCAACCUGGGGGCUGCGCUUGAUACUUGGUUGCUUGAGUGGGGAAGAGGGUCGUGGAAUUCCCAGUGUAGAGGUGAAAUUCGUAGAUAUUGGGAAGAACACCGGUGGCGAAGGCGGCGACCUGGUCCUUUACUGACGCUGAGGCACGAAAGCGUGGGGAGCAAACAGGAUUAGAUACCCGAGUAGUCCCUGUCUCUUAUAC